GACGAACGCUGGCGGCGUGCCUAACACAUGCAAGUCGAGCGAAGAAUACAUAAAGAAAUCUUCGGAUGGAAUUAUAUAUUUCUUAGCGGCGGACGGGUGAGUAACGCGUGGGUAACCUGCCCUUAACACCGGGACAACAGCGGGAAACUGCUGCUAAUACCGGAUAAUCUCAAGAGAAGGCAUCUUCUUUUGAGGAAAGGUGGCCUCUGAAUAUGCUACCGAUUAAGGAUGGACCCGCGUCUGAUUAGCUAGUUGGUAGGGUAGUUGCCUACCAAGGCGACGAUCAGUAGCCGGCCUGAGAGGGUGACCGGCCACACUGGGACUGAGACACGGCCCAGACUCCUACGGGAGGCAGCAGUGGGGAAUCUUCCACAAUGGGCGAAAGCCUGAUGGAGCGACGCCGCGUGAGCGAAGAAGGCCUCGGUUGUAAGACUCUGUCUGGAGGGACGAAGGAAGUAGACGGUACCGUCCGGAGGAAGCCACGGCUAACUACGUAGCCAGCAGCCGCGGUAAA
Molecule: ribosomal RNA, 514 nt
Filed under: uncultured bacterium
Lineage: Bacteria
Description: bacterial SSU rRNA
Rfam family: Bacterial small subunit ribosomal RNA
Source: RNAcentral